AGGAGCUUGCUCCUCUGAUCAGUGGCGAACGGGUGAGUAACACGUGAGCAACCUGCCCCAGACUCUGGGAUAACAGUUGGAAACAGCUGCUAAUACCGGAUACGAGACGGAGAGGCAUCUCUACCGUCUGGAAAGUUUUUCGGUCUGGGAUGGACUCGCGGCCUAUCAGCUAGUUGGUGAGGUAAUGGCUCACCAAGGCGACGACGGGUAGCCGGCCUGAGAGGGCGACCGGCCACACUGGGACUGAGACACGGCCCAGACUCUUACGGGAGGCAGCAGUGGGGAAUAUUGCACAAUGGGCGAAAGCCUGAUGCAGCGACGCCGCGUGAGGGAUGACGGCCUUCGGGUUGUAAACCUCUUUCAGCAGGGAAGAAGCGAAAGUGACGGUACCUGCAGAAGAAGCACCGGCUAACUACGUGCCAGCAGCCGCGGUAAUACGUAGGGUGCGAGCGUUGUCCGGAAUUAUUGGGCGUAAAGAGCUUGUAGGCGGUUUGUCGCGUCUGCAGUGAAAAUCCCGAGGCUCAACCUCGGACUUGCUGUGGGUACGGGCAGACUAGAGUAUGGUAGGGGAGACCGAAAUUCCUGGUGUAGCGGUGGAAUGCGCAGAUAUCAGGAGGAACACCGAUGGCGAAGGCAGGUCUCUGGGCCAUAACUGACGCUGAGAAGCGAAAGCAUGGGGAGCGAACAGGA
This 690-nucleotide ribosomal RNA is filed under the name uncultured bacterium. RNAcentral describes it as "bacterial SSU rRNA". It matches the Rfam family "Bacterial small subunit ribosomal RNA", at positions 74 to 777 of the family's 1533-position model. The record is from RNAcentral.